GGACCCGCACAAGCGGUGGAGCAUGUGGUUUAAUUCGAAGCAACGCGAAGAACCUUACCAAGUCUUGACAUCCCUCUGACUGAAUCGUAAUGGAUUCGUUCCUUCGGGACAGAGGAGACAGGUGGUGCAUGGUUGUCGUCAGCUCGUGUCGUGAGAUGUUGGGUUAAGUCCCGCAACGAGCGCAACCCUUAUCUUUAGUAGCCAGCAGGUGAAGCUGGGCACUCUGGAGAGACUGCCGGGGAGAACCCGGAGGAAGGCGGGGAUGACGUCAAAUCAUCAUGCCCCUUAUGACUUGGGCUACACACGUGCUACAAUGGCGUAAACAAAGGGAAGCGAAGCUGUGAAGUGGAGCAAAGCCCAGAAAUAACGUCUCAGUUCGGAUUGUAGUCUGCAACUCGACUACAUGAAGCUGGAAUCGCUAGUAAUCGCGAAUCAGAAUGUCG
Molecule: ribosomal RNA, 443 nt
Filed under: uncultured Bacillota bacterium
Lineage: Bacteria; Bacillati; Bacillota
Description: bacterial SSU rRNA
Rfam family: Bacterial small subunit ribosomal RNA
Source: RNAcentral